UGACGGAUAUGGGUGCAGGUCCCAAUCCAGAAAAGCAGCUGAACAGGGCAACCAAGGGGUCCUGUUCCCCACACGUUUUUGUUCUCAUUACAUCCAGUGCCUUUGCCUCUAUCAUGGACACAAGUAAUUGUACAGUGUAAUCACAUCACAGCUCAUCUGAAUAUUCAUAACCAACACAAAGACUGGAGGAGAAGAGAAGUGGGGAGGAAAAAGGAAGGUAAUUUAAAUAUAAAACAGCAUUUCAUUUGGAAGCAAAGUUCCCCGUCCAGCUCAAGAGAUUGUCUUGGUAGUGAUUCUGUCUGUCCAUCUCCUGUACAGAAGCGCGGGCAGUGGGAGCAGCCGCAGCCCCCGCUGUGGAGAGAGAAAAUAAAGCACAACAACAAACAGCGGCAGGACUGCCCCCAGCCAAAGGGAUGUUUGAAGAGUCGCCAACGGUGGCUAACCAGCUGCUGGUCUCCAGGAAAGAAAUAGUCUAUUGAGGGAGCUUUAUAAAGACCCCAAUUAAUAUGUUGUGCAUGUAUAAGAUCUACAAAGAGCCCACUGUAUUCCUCCCCCCGCAGCCACCACCUUCUCUUCCUGAUCAAUGCCAGUGGAGAAGGAUCUGUGCUACCAAAUAAUUGAUUAAUCUCUUCAGUGGUGAAAACGCCCCUCUCCAAAACAGAGAAGAAAAACAAACACAAAAAGAGGCAACAGUUCGCUAAAUAGCAUGUAAAUUACCGCUGGUUCCAUCCUGCUUUGUGCCUUUAAAAAUGAAAAGGGAAAGAGUAAAUAUAAUCCCCAUCUUAAUGUA
Long non-coding RNA from Passer domesticus (house sparrow), 790 nucleotides. RefSeq lists it as uncharacterized. Lineage: Eukaryota; Metazoa; Chordata; Aves; Passeriformes; Passeridae. The record is from RefSeq and is a predicted model, not a curated record. The transcript has 2 exons.